Non-coding RNA from Chlorocebus sabaeus (green monkey), 430 nucleotides. The record is from RefSeq and is a predicted model, not a curated record. NCBI's taxonomy places the organism in Eukaryota, Metazoa, Chordata, Mammalia, Primates, Cercopithecidae.
ACAACUCUAUGUGGAGAUAUAUUUUCUGAGAUAUUCCAAAAAGGAGGGACACAACUGUACCAGAUGUUAAAAGGGCAGCUGAGUAUUAAGUGCCUAUGUAGUGUUUGCAGCUUAAUGUCCCAUGCAGAAGGGGACUCUGGGCUCUUGUGUUAGAAUUCAGUGUAAUUCUGGGGUCCUGCUUUUCUUCCAGGAAAUCCCACUUCCAUCUGGAUGUCUGGAUGAACUACUGAAAGCCACUGAGUGUCCUGCAGCAGGUGAACUGUGGCCAGAGCCCAAGGAUGAAGGGGGCUCCUUCCGUCUGUGACUGUGAAGAAGAAGCCUGAGGUAUAGCAGACCCAGGCCCCAGAAGGAUGGAAAAAAUGAGGGUUGGACCCAAGAUUCUGUACUUCUAUGGAGCCCUGUGUUCUGCCCAGGUGUCAUUUACUCUCAG